AUUGAACGCUGGCGGCAGGCUUAACACAUGCAAGUCGAGCGGAGAGAGGUAGCUUGCUACUGAUCUUAGCGGCGGACGGGUGAGUAAUGCUUAGGAAUCUGCCUAUUAGUGGGGGACAACAUUUCGAAAGGAAUGCUAAUACCGCAUACGUCCUACGGGAGAAAGCAGGGGAUCUUCGGACCUUGCGCUAAUAGAUGAGCCUAAGUCGGAUUAGCUAGUUGGUGGGGUAAAGGCCUACCAAGGCGACGAUCUGUAGCGGGUCUGAGAGGAUGAUCCGCCACACUGGGACUGAGACACGGCCCAGACUCCUACGGGAGGCAGCAGUGGGGAAUAUUGGACAAUGGGCGCAAGCCUGAUCCAGCCAUGCCGCGUGUGUGAAGAAGGCCUUAUGGUUGUAAAGCACUUUAAGCGAGGAGGAGGCUACUUUAGUUAAUACCUAGAGAUAGUGGACGUUACUCGCAGAAUAAGCACCGGCUAACUCUGUGCCAGCCGCCGCCGUAACAC
This 504-nucleotide ribosomal RNA is filed under the name uncultured bacterium. Its description in RNAcentral is "bacterial SSU rRNA". It matches the Rfam family "Bacterial small subunit ribosomal RNA", at positions 30 to 526 of the family's 1533-position model. The record is from RNAcentral.